CUACGGGGCGGCUGCAGUGGGGAAUAUUGCACAAUGGGCGCAAGCCUGAUGCAGCCAUGCCGCGUGUAUGAAGAAGGCCUUCGGGUUGUAAAGUACUUUCAGCGGGGAGGAAGGGAGUAAAGUUAAUACCUUUGCUCAUUGACGUUACCCGCAGAAGAAGCACCGGCUAACUCCGUGCCAGCAGCCGCGGUAAUACGGAGGGUGCAAGCGUUAAUCGGAAUUACUGGGCGUAAAGCGCACGCAGGCGGUUUGUUAAGUCAGAUGUGAAAUCCCCGGGCUCAACCUGGGAACUGCAUCUGAUACUGGCAAGCUUGAGUCUCGUAGAGGGGGGUAGAAUUCCAGGUGUAGCGGUGAUAUGCGUAGAGAUCUGGAGGAAUACCGGUGGCGAAGGCGGCCCCCUGGACGAAGACUGACGCUCAGGUGCGAAAGCGUGGGGAGCAAACAGGAUUAGAUACCCCCGUAGUC
This 465-nucleotide ribosomal RNA is filed under the name uncultured bacterium. RNAcentral's name for it is "partial 16S ribosomal RNA". It matches the Rfam family "Bacterial small subunit ribosomal RNA", at positions 339 to 795 of the family's 1533-position model. The record is from RNAcentral.